RNAcentral lists this ribosomal RNA (254 nucleotides) under uncultured bacterium. RNAcentral describes it as "partial 16S ribosomal RNA". It matches the Rfam family "Bacterial small subunit ribosomal RNA", at positions 524 to 776 of the family's 1533-position model. The record is from RNAcentral.
UACGAAGGGGGCUAGCGUUGCUCGGAAUCACUGGGCGUAAAGCGCACGUAGGCGGACUCUUAAGUCGGGGGUGAAAUCCUGGAGCUCAACUCCAGAACUGCCUUCGAUACUGGGAGCCUUCGAGUUCGGGAGAGGUGAGUGGAACUGCGAGUGUAGAGGUGAAAUUCGUAGAUAUUCGCAAGAACACCAGUGGCGAAGGCGGCUCACUGGCCCGAUACUGACGCUGAGGCACGAAAGCGUGGGGAGCAAACAGG